CAGCCGCCACGGGAAUACGAAGGGUGCAAGCGUUAAUCGGAAUUACUGGGCGUAAAGCGUGCGUAGGCGGUUUGUUAAGUCUGUUGUGAAAUCCCCGGGCUCAACCUGGGAAUGGCAAUGGAUACUGGCAAGCUAGAGUGUGUCGGAGGAUGGUGGAAUUCCCGGUGUAGCGGUGAAAUGCGUAGAGAUCGGGAGGAACAUCAGUGGCGAAGGCGGCCAUCUGGGACAACACUGACGCUGAGGCACGAAAGCGUGGGGAGCAAACAGGAUUAGAGACCCCAGUAGUCCUGUCUCUUAUACA
This 301-nucleotide ribosomal RNA is filed under the name uncultured bacterium. RNAcentral's name for it is "partial 16S ribosomal RNA". It matches the Rfam family "Bacterial small subunit ribosomal RNA", at positions 509 to 809 of the family's 1533-position model. The record is from RNAcentral.